This 104-nucleotide small nuclear RNA is filed under the name Chinchilla lanigera (long-tailed chinchilla). The record is from RNAcentral. Lineage: Eukaryota; Metazoa; Chordata; Mammalia; Rodentia; Chinchillidae.
AUGAACUUGCCAUGCUCACAUAUACUAAAAUUGGAAUGAUACAGAGAAGACUGCAUGGCACCUGCGCACGGAUGACACAAGAAUAUGAACUUGCCAUAGUAGUU